UGGGGAAUCUUGCACAAUGGGGGCAACCCUGAUGCAGCGACGCCGCGUGAGCGAUGAAGCCCUUCGGGGCGUAAAGCUCUUUCGACCGGAACGAUAAUGACGGUACCGGGAGAAGAAGCUGCGGCUAGCUACGUGCCUGCAGCCGCGGUAAUACGUAGGCAGCAAGCGUUGUUCGGAGUUACUGGGCGUAAAGAGUGCGUAGGCGGUUUUCUAAGUUCGGUGUGAAAUCUCCCGGCUUAACUGGGAGGGUGCGCCGAAGACUGGGAAGCUGGAGUGUGGGAAAGGCGGCGGAAUUCCUGGUGUAGCGGUGAAAUGCGUAGAUAUCAGGAGGAACACCGGCGGUGUAGACGGCUUGCUAGACCAUAACUGACGCUGAGGCACGAAAGCGUGGGUAGCAAACA
RNAcentral lists this ribosomal RNA (401 nucleotides) under uncultured bacterium. RNAcentral describes it as "bacterial SSU rRNA". It matches the Rfam family "Bacterial small subunit ribosomal RNA", at positions 355 to 774 of the family's 1533-position model. The record is from RNAcentral.